This 253-nucleotide ribosomal RNA is filed under the name uncultured bacterium. RNAcentral describes it as "partial 16S ribosomal RNA". It matches the Rfam family "Bacterial small subunit ribosomal RNA", at positions 524 to 776 of the family's 1533-position model. The record is from RNAcentral.
UACGUAGGGGGCAAGCGUUGUCCGGAUUUACUGGGUGUAAAGGGCGUGCAGCCGGGAAUGCAAGUCAGAUGUGAAAUCCCGCGGCUCAACCGCGGAACUGCAUUUGAAACUGUGUUUCUUGAGUACUGGAGAGGCAGACGGAAUUCCUAGUGUAGCGGUGAAAUGCGUAGAUAUUAGGAGGAACACCAGUGGCGAAGGCGGUCUGCUGGACAGCAACUGACGGUGAGGCGCGAAAGCGUGGGGAGCAAACAGG